UAACAAAAUGACUGCUUAUAGUUUAUCUGU
RNAcentral lists this non-coding RNA (30 nucleotides) under Mus musculus (house mouse). Lineage: Eukaryota; Metazoa; Chordata; Mammalia; Rodentia; Muridae. The record is from RNAcentral.